AAAAAUGCAAUUAAAUUAUAAUUUAAUAUUAAUAAUUAUGAAUUUUGUUAAUUUUAAUAAAAAUUUUAUUGGGUGAAAUUUUAAAUUUUUAUAUAAAUUAUUUAAAAAUUAAUAUUUAAGAAAUUUUAUUUUAAACUAGGAUUAGAUACCCUAUUAUUAUAAAUGUAAAGUGUUAUUAGAUUAGUAUUAGUUAUGUUCUUGAAAAUUAAAGAUUUUGGCGGUUUUUUAGUCUGUUCAGAGGAACCUGUUUUGUAAUCGAUAAUCCACGAUUUGAUUAACUUUUUCUUUUAGCUUAUAUAUCGUCGUAUUUAGAAUAUUUUAUUAGAAUUUGAAUGUUCAAUAAGUAAAGUUUAUUUAAAAUCAGAUCAAGGUAUAGUUUAUGUGAAAGUAAAAAUGGGUUACAUUAAUUUUAAUUAGGGAUUAUUUUUGUAAGAAAAGUAAGAAUUUGGAUUUGAUAGUAAUUUUUAUAAAUUUCUAAAAUGAUUAGAGCUCUAAAUUAUGUACAUAUUGCCCGUCGCUUUCAUUUUAAGGUGAAAUAAGUCGUAACAGAGUAGGCUUACUGGAAAGUGUGCCUAGAAAGCGAGAGAGAGCUUGAUUAUAAAGCAUUUUAGUUACAUUAAAAAGUUAAUUGUGAAAUUCAAUUUUUCUUGAUUAAAAAAAAUUAUUUAUUUAGUUAUAAUAGGGGGGAUUAUUAAUUAAUAAAAAUAAUUUAAUUUAUAGUAUAAUUAAGAAAAAAUUUUUUUAAUUAUAGAAAAUUAUGUAUUGUGAAAGAAAUUUAUUAAAAAUUAAUAAGAAAAAUUUAUUUU
This 806-nucleotide ribosomal RNA is filed under the name Olenecamptus clarus. Its description in RNAcentral is "partial 12S ribosomal RNA". Lineage: Eukaryota; Metazoa; Arthropoda; Insecta; Coleoptera; Cerambycidae. The record is from RNAcentral.